RNAcentral lists this ribosomal RNA (253 nucleotides) under uncultured bacterium. Its description in RNAcentral is "partial 16S ribosomal RNA". It matches the Rfam family "Bacterial small subunit ribosomal RNA", at positions 524 to 776 of the family's 1533-position model. The record is from RNAcentral.
UACGGAGGGGGCUAGCGUUGUUCGGAAUUACUGGGCGUAAAGCGUGCGCAGGCGGUUUUGUAAGCCAGAUGUGAAAUCCCAGGGCUCAACCCUGGGCGUGCAGUGGAUACGGGCAGGCUGGAGGCAGGCAGGGGAGAACGGAAUUCCCGGUGUAGCGGUGAAAUGCGCAGAUAUCGGGAGGAACACCGGUGGCGAAGGCGGUUCUCUGGGCCUGUUCUGACGCUGAGGAGCGAAAGCGUGGGGAGCGAACAGG